This 253-nucleotide ribosomal RNA is filed under the name uncultured bacterium. RNAcentral's name for it is "partial 16S ribosomal RNA". It matches the Rfam family "Bacterial small subunit ribosomal RNA", at positions 524 to 776 of the family's 1533-position model. The record is from RNAcentral.
UACGGAGGGGGCUAGCGUUGUUCGGAAUUACUGGGCGUAAAGCGCGCGUAGGCGGCUUUGUAAGUUAGAGGUGAAAGCCCGGAGCUCAACUCCGGAACUGCCUUUAAGACUGCAUCGCUAGAAUUGUGGAGAGGUGAGUGGAAUUCCGAGUGUAGAGGUGAAAUUCGUAGAUAUUCGGAAGAACACCAGUGGCGAAGGCGACUAACUGGACACGUAUUGACGCUGAGGUACGAAGGCUAGGGUAGCGAAAGGG